CACUGGAGGAGGAGGAGGAGCCAAAUGUGAGACCAAAAAAGAUCUUUUUGUUCAUGUUGUGUACGUCUCACACAUACUCGAGGAUGGUAGGUGUUGUGGAUAGAACGGAGCAGAGUAGAGUGAUUGGAGCGCUCUUCUUUCGAGGUUAAAAUUUAGUACACGUGUCUUGUACUAGGUUGUGUCACUUGCAUUUCUUUGGUUGCAAAAGGUUGAAGGACUUUUAAGGUUGGGAGAAUCUUAAUUCCAUACGGACAAUGAGGUUAGGUGGUGUUCCCCAUACCGAUUAAGGAGUGAAAUUCCCGAUGGAAUUUGGAUUGGAUGCCAGAAAGAAAGAUCUGUGGAAAAAAACAAGUAGAGAGAAGAAAGUUCUGGAGUGCAGAUGGAAGAAAAGAGAAUACCAGUCAUUUGGCAACAGAAUAUUAGCAGCACGGAUAUCUUAUAGUAGAGAAUCUUUUCGUGGCAUUUGGAAUGGAAUAGAAGUUGCAAUCAAAGUUUUGUUGGAGCAAGAUUUGACUGCUGAAAACAUGGAGGAUUUCUGCAAUGAAAUUUCCAUCCUAAGCAUUACUGAUUUAGCGGAUGUCUUUUCCUGUCUAAAGUGUUUGACCGUUUUUACUUCACUUCUUGAGAAGUAUGAGGUUGAUCCAAAGCAAAUUGGUAGACUGGAAGUUGGAAGCGAGACCGUUAUACACAAAAGCAAAUCAAUCAAGACAUUCCUAUGCAAAUAUUUGAGGUCUUAGCAUUGUUCGUAGGGGCUCCCCUGGAGAAGCAAGUUGUAGUAGUUUGUUCAAAUUUGGGCAUAUUAUCUGCUUGCAAUAUGGCCAUUACAGAUGGAGGCCGGCUUGUGAUUCGGAAGCUGGAAUUGAGCAUUUGGGGAUAUUAUCUGCUUUCAUGGAACACCGGAUUUUCUGCUGUGGCAGUUAGAGUUAGUGAACCCUUUUAGUUGGAGUGUGGAUCGAGCUGUAAAGAAUAUGCCUUGAACCCUUUAAUGCACAGUAGAUCAGAAUGAAAUUCCAUCCUUGUGUGGUCCCUCCUCUUUAUCCUUUAUGUUUCCUCUUUACACUUUUCUUCUUUAGCUUUCUGGUCUGCAGUUCCCUUGCUGUCUUCCACUCAAUUUCUAUGAAAUUUCCUUCACUUUUCUUCCUUA
RNA transcript from Ipomoea nil (Japanese morning glory), 1144 nucleotides. RefSeq lists it as uncharacterized. The transcript is spliced from 7 exons. Lineage: Eukaryota; Viridiplantae; Streptophyta; Magnoliopsida; Solanales; Convolvulaceae. The record is from RefSeq and is a predicted model, not a curated record.